This 433-nucleotide ribosomal RNA is filed under the name uncultured bacterium. Its description in RNAcentral is "partial 16S ribosomal RNA". It matches the Rfam family "Bacterial small subunit ribosomal RNA", at positions 29 to 507 of the family's 1533-position model. The record is from RNAcentral.
AACGAACGCUGGUGGCAUGCCUAACACAUGCAAGUCGAACGAGACCUUCGGGUCUAGUGGCGCACGGGUGCGUAACGCGUGGGAACCUGCCCUUAGGUUCGGAAUAACUCCCCGAAAGGGGUGCUAAUACCGGAUAAUGUCUUCGGACCAAAGAUUUAUCGCCUUUGGAUGGGCCCGCGUUGGAUUAGCUAGUUGGUAGGGUAAAAGCCUACCAAGGCGACGAUCCAUAGCUGGUCGGAGAGGAUGAUCAGCCACACUGGGACUGAGACACGGCCCAGACUCCUACGGGAGGCAGCAGUGGGGAAUAUUGGACAACGGGCGAAAGCCUGAACCAGCAAUGCCGCGUGAGUGAUGAAGGCCUUAGGGAUGUAAAGCUCUUUUACCCGGGAUGAUAAUGACAGUACCGGGAGAAUAAGCUCCGGCUAACUCCGUG